GUCCAGGUGAAAGUGGUUCAAGAACCCAGCUAGUUUCAUUUGUACAAAUACAAGACGAUGACUUGAAGGUCAAAGUUGAACCAGUUCAAUGGUGGGAUGUAUGUAGAAGAUCAGAUUGGUCAGAAAGAGAGGAAUGCAUUUUUGGGAGUACAGGUGGAAAAGACGCUGUUGAAAUAAUUCAAAGAACAUCAGGAUCUGGGG
This 201-nucleotide unclassified non-coding RNA is filed under the name Hevea brasiliensis (rubber tree). Lineage: Eukaryota; Viridiplantae; Streptophyta; Magnoliopsida; Malpighiales; Euphorbiaceae. The record is from RNAcentral.